GACGAACGCUGGCGGCGUGCUUAACACAUGCAAGUCGAACGGAACGGCCCUGCUUUUGUGGGGUGCUCGAGUGGCGACCGGGUGACUAACCCGUGAGUACCCUGCCCUUGACUUUGGGAUAACUUAAUGAAACUGGGGCUCAUCCCGGAUAGGAGCUCCUGCUGCAUGGUGGGGGCUGGACAGUUUCGGCGGUUGGGGAUGGACACGCGGCUGCUCGGCUUGUUGGUGGGGUAGUGGCUUACCAAGGCUUUGCCGGGUAGCCGGGCUGAUAUGGGAACCGGAUAAGUUGCGAUGGGAAUGCGACACAGACUCCUACGGUAGGCAGCAGUGGGGUAUAGUGCACAGUGGGCGGAGGCAUGAUGCAGCACCGCCGCGUGCGGUAAGACGGCCUGGUGUUUGUAUACCGAUUUCGUCUGUGACGAGGCGUGAGUGACGGUAAUGGGUAAAGAAGCACCGGCUAACUACGUG
Molecule: ribosomal RNA, 468 nt
Filed under: uncultured bacterium
Lineage: Bacteria
Description: partial 16S ribosomal RNA
Rfam family: Bacterial small subunit ribosomal RNA
Source: RNAcentral